CGUGCUGAAAUUGCACGGCCCAGACUCCUACGGGAGGCAGCAGUGGGGAAUAUUGCGCAAUGGGGGAAACCCUGACGCAGCGACGCCGCGUGGGUGAUGAAGGCCUUCGGGUCGUAAAGCCCUGUCGUAGGGGAAGAAUCGGUGGACGGAUAAUACCCGGCCGCCUUGACGGUACCCUACAAGAAAGCACCGGCUAACUCCGUGCCAGCAGCCGCGGUAAUACGGAGGGUGCGAGCGUUGUUCGGAAUUACUGGGCGUAAAGCGCGUGCAGGCGGUCGAUUAAGUCCGGUGUGAAAGCCCGGGGCUCACCCCCGGAAGUGCGCUGGAAACUAAUCAACUAGAGUACGGGAGAGGGAAGUGGAAUUCCUGGUGUAGCGGUGAAAUGCGUAGAUAUCAGGAGGAACACCGGCGGCGAAGGCGGCUUCCUGGACCAAUACUGACGCUGAGACGCGAAAGCGUGGGGAGCAAACAGGAUUAGAUGCCCUGGUAGUCCACGCUGUAAACGAUGGGUACUAGGUGUCGCGGGUGUUGACCCCUGCGGUGCCGCAGCUAACGCAUUAAGUACCCCGCCUGGGGAUUACGAUCGCAAGAUUAAAACUCAAAGGAAUUGACGGGGGCCCGCACAAGCGGUGGAGCAUGUGGUUUAAUUCGACGCAACGCGAAGAACCUUACCUGGGUUAGACAACGGUGGACCGCUCCAGAGAUGGAGCUUUCCCUUCGGGGACUGCCGGUUCAGGUGCUGCAUGGCUGUCGUCAGCUCGUGUCGUGAGAUGUUGGGUUAAGUCCCGCAACGGGCGCAACCCUUGCCUCUAGUUGCCAGCAUUUAGUUGGGCACUCUAGAGGGACUGCCGGCGUUAAGCCGGAGGAAGGUGGGGAUGACGUCAAGUCCUCAUGGCCCUUAUGCCCAGGGCUACACACGUGCUACAAUGGUCGGUACAGAGGGCAGCGAAGCCGCAAGGUGAAGCCAAUCCCAGAAAGCCGGCCUCAGUUCGGAUUGGAGUCUGCAACUCGACUCCAUGAAGGUGGAAUCGCUAGUAAUCGCGGAUCAGCACGCCGCGGUGAAUACGUUCCCGGGCCUUGUACACACCGCCCGUCACACCAUGGGAGUUUGCUGUACCGGAAGCCGGUGAUCUAACCCGCAAGGGAAGUAGCCGUCCAUGGUAUGGCCGAUGACUGGGGUGAAGUCGUAACAAGGUAGCCGUAGGGGAACCUGCGGCUG
This 1219-nucleotide ribosomal RNA is filed under the name metagenome. Its description in RNAcentral is "bacterial SSU rRNA". It matches the Rfam family "Bacterial small subunit ribosomal RNA", at positions 309 to 1520 of the family's 1533-position model. The record is from RNAcentral.